AAUUGUGCUUGGAACAUUUCAACGGACGUCAUCUUGAUCUUUCUCCUCUGGAAUGGCCAUGCUGCAGGUAUAGGUAUUCACGUAUUCAGACGUUCCUGAGUACUGGACAUAACAUAUUUUCCAGAAUACAUUGACAAGAAUGAGAACGCAUACUGGGGUGACAGGUAGCCUAGUGGUU
Salmo salar (Atlantic salmon) is the source of this 178-nucleotide long non-coding RNA. RefSeq lists it as uncharacterized. The record is from RefSeq and is a predicted model, not a curated record. NCBI's taxonomy places the organism in Eukaryota, Metazoa, Chordata, Actinopteri, Salmoniformes, Salmonidae.